UGUUUAUGAUGGCAUAGGACCUUGUCUGACAAUAAUGAUUUCAAAAUUUAAGCUUAAAGUGGCACUCUGACAAAA
Molecule: small nucleolar RNA, 75 nt
Organism: Nannospalax galili (Upper Galilee mountains blind mole rat)
Lineage: Eukaryota; Metazoa; Chordata; Mammalia; Rodentia; Spalacidae
Product: small nucleolar RNA SNORD107
Exons: 1
Source: RefSeq, a predicted model, not a curated record